Molecule: ribosomal RNA, 499 nt
Filed under: uncultured Glomeromycotina
Lineage: Eukaryota; Fungi; Glomeromycota
Description: partial small subunit ribosomal RNA
Rfam family: Eukaryotic small subunit ribosomal RNA
Source: RNAcentral
CCAAUAGCGUAUAUUAAAGUUGUUGCAGUUAAAAAGCUCGUAGUUGAAUUUCGGGAUCAAAUUGUCGGUCGUGCCUCGGUACGUACUGGUAUUAUUGGUUCCUCCCUUCUGACGAACCACGAUGUCAUUAAUUUGGUGUCAUGGGAAAUCAGGACUGUUACUUUGAAAAAAUUAGAGUGUUUAAAGCAGGCUCGCGCUUGAAUACAUUAGCAUGGAAUAAUGAAAUAGGACGUUUGAUUCUAUUUUGUUGGUUUCUAGGAUCGACGUAAUGAUUAAUAGGGAUAGUUGGGGGCAUUAGUAGUCAAUUGUCAGAGGUGAAAUUCUUGGAUUUAUUGAAGACUAACUACUGCGAAAGCAUUUGCCAAGGAUGUUUUCAUUAAUCAAGAACGAAAGCUAGGAGAUCGAAGACGAUCAGAUACCGUCGUAGUCUUAACCAUAAACUAUGCCGACUAGGGAUCGGAUGAUGUUAAUUUUUUAAUGACUCAUUCGGCGCCUUACG